Molecule: ribosomal RNA, 497 nt
Filed under: uncultured bacterium
Lineage: Bacteria
Description: partial 16S ribosomal RNA
Rfam family: Bacterial small subunit ribosomal RNA
Source: RNAcentral
GAUGAACGCUGGCGGCGUGCCUAAUACAUGCAAGUCGAGCGAACGGACGAGAAGCUUGCUUCUCUGAUGUUAGCGGCGGACGGGUGAGUAACACGUGGAUAACCUACCUAUAAGACUGGGAUAACUUCGGGAAACCGUAGCUAAUACCGGAUAAUAUUUUGAACCGCAUGGUUCAAAAGUGAAAGACGGUCUUGCUGUCACUUAUAGAUGGAUCCGCGCUGCAUUAGCUAGUUGGUAAGGUAACGGCUUACCAAGGCAACGAUGCAUAGCCGACCUGAGAGGGUGAGGGGCCACACUGGAACUGAGACACGGGACGGACGACUACGGGAGGCAGCAGUGGGGAAUCGUCCGCAAUGGGCGAAAGACUGACGGAGCAACGCAGCGUGAGUGAUGAAGUGCUUCAGAACGUAAAACUCUGUUAUUAGGGAAGAACAAAUGUGCAAGUAACUGUGCACAUCUUGACGGUACCUAAUCAGAAAGCAACGGCUAACUACGUG